AUUUCCUACAAUGACAAAAGAAAUUACAUUGUGUACAUUCCAUCUCUAUAGAUGUUGUCUGUUUAACGUCCCCACCUAAAAAGAAAUAAAAAGACUAUCUUUUGAAAAUAACGAAAUUUUCGUUAUUAUAAACCCGUGUCACGUGAUGUGGCGCGCGCGCUGUACCUAAAAUAAAAGAAAAACUUUCCAAACUAAACAUGAAACUUCUCCGGUAACAAUAAUAUAGACCCCAUACAGAAACAAACAAACAAACAAACAAACAAACACCCCCCAAUUCAAUUAAUUUUACAGGGGGAAAGACCCCCUACAAUUGCUUUUUUAAAGCAAUUGAUUUAUAUUUUAUUUCUGUCUUCU
This 354-nucleotide long non-coding RNA is filed under the name Mytilus galloprovincialis (Mediterranean mussel). Lineage: Eukaryota; Metazoa; Mollusca; Bivalvia; Mytilida; Mytilidae. The record is from RNAcentral.